RNAcentral lists this transfer RNA (69 nucleotides) under Ecsenius bicolor (bicolor blenny). RNAcentral describes it as "tRNA-Ala". It matches the Rfam family "tRNA". From Rfam's summary of the family: Transfer RNA (tRNA) molecules are approximately 80 nucleotides in length. Their secondary structure includes four short double-helical elements and three loops (D, anti-codon, and T loops). Lineage: Eukaryota; Metazoa; Chordata; Actinopteri; Blenniiformes; Blenniidae. The record is from RNAcentral.
AAGGCUUUAGCUUAAUUAAAGUGUCUGUUUUGCAUGUAGAAGAUGUGGGAUAGUGUCCUGCAAGUCUUA